UACGUAGGGUGCGAGCGUUGUCCGGAAUUAUUGGGCGUAAAAGAGCUCGUAGGCGGUCUGUCGCGUCUGCUGUGAAAUCCCGAGGCUCAACCUCGGGCUUGCAGUGGGUACGGGCAGACUAGAGUGUGGUAGGGGAGACUGGAAUUCCUGGUGUAGCGGUGAAAUGCGCAGAUAUCAGGAGGAACACCGAUGGCGAAGGCAGGUCUCUGGGCCACUA
This 217-nucleotide ribosomal RNA is filed under the name uncultured bacterium. Its description in RNAcentral is "partial 16S ribosomal RNA". It matches the Rfam family "Bacterial small subunit ribosomal RNA", at positions 524 to 739 of the family's 1533-position model. The record is from RNAcentral.